GGCGGGGCUGCGGGGUGAGGAGCCCGGGGUGGGCCUGUCGCGACCUCGGCGGUGAAGACGAUCGUGUUCCGGCCAGGACCCCACCGC
Molecule: transfer RNA, 87 nt
Filed under: mine drainage metagenome
Description: tRNA-Asp
Source: RNAcentral